GCUUGGAUAGCUCAAUCGGUAGAGCGCAGGUCUCAUGCAAUGACAUGACCACACUUCGUGGGUAAACCUGAGGUCGUGAGUUCGAUUCUCACUCUGAGCA
Molecule: non-coding RNA, 100 nt
Organism: Fomes fomentarius
Lineage: Eukaryota; Fungi; Basidiomycota; Agaricomycetes; Polyporales; Polyporaceae
Source: the annotation of a GenBank genome assembly